GACGAACGCUGGCGGCGUGCUUAACACAUGCAAGUCGAACGGUAAGGCCUUCGGGUACACGAGUGGCGAACGGGUGAGUAACACGUGGGUGAUCUGCCCUGCACUUUGGGAUAAGCCUGGGAAACUGGGUCUAAUACCGGAUAGGACUACGCACUGCAUGGUGUGUGGUGGAAAGCUUUUGCGGUGUGGGAUGGGCCCGCGGCCUAUCAGCUUGUUGGUGGGGUGAUGGCCUACCAAGGCGACGACGGGUAGCCGGCCUGAGAGGGUGUCCGGCCACACUGGGACUGAGAUACGGCCCAGACUCCUACGGGGGGCAGCAGUGGGGAAUAUUGCACAAUGGGCGCAAGCCUGAUGCAGCGACGCCGCGUGGGGGAUGACGGCCUUCGGGUUGUAAACCUCUUUCAGCACAGACGAAGCGCGAGUGACGGUAUGUGCAGAAGAAGGACCGGCCAACUACGUGCCAGCCGCCGCCGUAA
Molecule: ribosomal RNA, 476 nt
Filed under: uncultured bacterium
Lineage: Bacteria
Description: partial 16S ribosomal RNA
Rfam family: Bacterial small subunit ribosomal RNA
Source: RNAcentral